Non-coding RNA from Caenorhabditis brenneri, 73 nucleotides. NCBI's taxonomy places the organism in Eukaryota, Metazoa, Nematoda, Chromadorea, Rhabditida, Rhabditidae. The record is from Rfam.
GCCCGCGUGGCUUAAUGGAUAAGGCACCGGACUCCGGAACCGGGCAUGGGCGUUCGAGUCCCCCCCGUGGGCU